This 615-nucleotide ribosomal RNA is filed under the name Uropodella laciniata. RNAcentral describes it as "eukaryotic LSU rRNA". It matches the Rfam family "Eukaryotic large subunit ribosomal RNA", at positions 2304 to 2894 of the family's 3401-position model. Lineage: Eukaryota; Metazoa; Arthropoda; Arachnida; Mesostigmata; Uropodellidae. The record is from RNAcentral.
UAGUGACGCGCAUGAAUGGAUUAACGAGAUUCCCACUGUCCCUAUCUACUAUCUAGCGAAAUCACAGCCAAGGGAACGGGCUUGGGAAUAUGACUACGGGGAAAGAAGACCCUCCUGAGCUUGAUUCUAGUCUGACUCUGUGAAGAGACAUAAGAGGUGUAGCAUAAGUGGGAGCCGCGCCAUGCUCUCGGGCAGGUCGGCGACAAUGAAAUACCACUACUCUUAUUGUUUCUUUACUUACUCGGUUGUACGAAAGGCGGCCUUUCGGGGCCAAUUUUCUGGUGCCAAGUGCACGCGAAUGUGUUGCAUAAUUCGCUCCGAGGACACUGUCAGGUGAGGAAUUCGUCUGGGGCGGAACAUCUGUCAAAACGUAACGCAGGUGUCCCAAGGUGAGCUCAGCUAGGACAGAAACCUAGCGUAGAGUAAAAGGGCAAAAGCUCACUUGAUCUUGAUUUUCAGUACAAAUACAGACUGCGAAAGCAGGGCCUAUAGAUCCUUUUGUUUUAAGAGUUUUAAGCAAGAGGUGCCAGAAAAGUUACCACAGGGGCAACUGGCUUGUUGCGACCAAGCGUUCAUAGCGACGUCGCUUAUUGNUUCUUCGAUGUCGGCUCUUCC